RNAcentral lists this unclassified non-coding RNA (341 nucleotides) under soil metagenome. RNAcentral describes it as "partial contains 5.8S ribosomal RNA, internal transcribed spacer 2, and large subunit ribosomal RNA". The stretch from base 1 to 120 matches the Rfam family "5.8S ribosomal RNA", at positions 35 to 154 of the family's 154-position model. The record is from RNAcentral.
GAUGAAGAACGUAGCGAAAUGCGAUAAGUAGUGUGAAUUGCAGAAUUCAGUGAAUCAUCGAAUCUUUGAACGCACAUUGCGCCCUUUGGUAUUCCAAAGGGCAUGCCUGUUCGAGCGUCAUUUGUACCCUCAAGCUUUGCUUGGUGUUGGGCGUCUUGUCUCUAGCUUUGCUGGAGACUCGCCUUAAAGUAAUUGGCAGGCGGCCUACUGGUUUCGGAGCGCAGCACAAGUCGCACUCUCUAUCAGCAAAGGUCUAGCAUCCAUUAAGCCUUUUUUUCAACUUUUGACCUCGGAUCAGGUAGGGAUACCCGCUGAACUUAAGCAUAUCAAUAAGCGGAGGA